CAAGAUGGCAGAGGAGGAGGACGGGGAGAACACUUUCUCCCCCACAAAUUCAUCAAAAGAGCAUUUAAACGUCGAGUAAAUUCCACAAAACAACUUCUGAAUGCCGGCAGAGGACAUCAAGCACCCAGAAAAGCAAUUCAACUCUUCGAAAGGAGAUGUGCUUGAGCAGUGGACACUGAGUCCUCUGAUGCACCCAUUUCCAGCUGCAACUGAACAAGACAACACUCUGUCUGGCCUUGGCUCUCACUUGGAGAUGACCAGAGGAUGGAAACAGAAGUGGACAGUACGGUGAGAGCAGAAGCUCUGGCUCUGGCACUUGCCAGUGGAGGGGCCUCAGGUGGAUUCUUCACUACUGAGCCAUCAGGAAAGCCAGAAACUGAGCCCAAAAUUGAGAACUCCUUGCUAUUAAUAGUUGUAUGAGGAGCUUUCCUGGAGAACACAGAUGGCAACAGAGCUUUGUUCAAUGGAAAGCUGCCCACUGUGAAC
Bos taurus (domestic cattle) is the source of this 486-nucleotide long non-coding RNA. The record is from Ensembl. Lineage: Eukaryota; Metazoa; Chordata; Mammalia; Artiodactyla; Bovidae.